UAAACGAGAAAGUCAGGGCCUACGGGUUGUCAACUUCUUUUGUAUAGGAAGAAACAAAUCUACGUGUAGAGGGUUGACGGUACUAUUCGAAUAAGCACCGGCUAACUCCGUGCCAGCAGCCGCGGUAAUACGGAGGGUGCGAGCGUUAUCCGGAAUUAUUGGGUUUAAAGGGUGCGUAGGCGGAAAUUUAAGUCAGUGGUGAAAGCCUGCAGCUUAACUGUAGAAUUGCCAUUGAUACUGGAUUUCUUGAAUCUAAUAGAAGUAGGCGGAAUAUGACAUGUAGCGGUGAAAUGCUUAGAUAUGUCAUAGAACACCGAUAGCGAAGGCAGCUUACUAUGUUAGUAUUGACGCUAAUGCACGAAAGCGUGGGGAGCGAACAGGAUUAGAUACCCUGGUAGUCCACGCCGUAAACGAUGAUUACUCGCUAUUGGCGAUACACUGUCAGUGGCUAAGCGAAAGUGAUAAGUAAUCCACCUGGGGAGUACGAUCGCAAGGUUGAAACUCAAAGGAAUUGACGGGGGCCCGCACAAGGGGUGGA
This 538-nucleotide ribosomal RNA is filed under the name uncultured Flavobacteriales bacterium. Its description in RNAcentral is "bacterial SSU rRNA". It matches the Rfam family "Bacterial small subunit ribosomal RNA", at positions 396 to 936 of the family's 1533-position model. The record is from RNAcentral. Lineage: Bacteria; Pseudomonadati; Bacteroidota; Flavobacteriia; Flavobacteriales.